Molecule: ribosomal RNA, 454 nt
Filed under: uncultured bacterium
Lineage: Bacteria
Description: bacterial SSU rRNA
Rfam family: Bacterial small subunit ribosomal RNA
Source: RNAcentral
GAUGAACGCUGGCGGCGUGCUUAACACAUGCAAGUCGAACGAAGCACUUUACUUGAUUUCUUCGGAAUGAUUGUUCUGUGACUGAGUGGCGGACGGGUGAGUAACGCGUGGGUAACCUGCCUCGUACAGGGGGAUAACAGUUGGAAACGACUGCUAAUACCGCAUAAGCGCACAGUAUCGCAUGAUACAGUGUGAAAAACUCCGGUGGUAUGAGAUGGACCCGCGUCUGAUUAGCUAGUUGGUGGGGUAACGGCCUACCAAGGCGACGAUCAGUAGCCGACCUGAGAGGGUGACCGGCCACAUUGGGACUGAGACACGGCCCAAACUCCUACGGGAGCAGCAGUGGGGAAUAUUGCACAAUGGGGGAAACCCUGAUGCAGCGACGCCGCGUGAGCGAUGAAGUAUUUCGGUAUGUAAAGCUCUAUCAGCAGGGANAAAAUGACGGUACCUGACU